This 501-nucleotide ribosomal RNA is filed under the name uncultured bacterium. Its description in RNAcentral is "bacterial SSU rRNA". It matches the Rfam family "Bacterial small subunit ribosomal RNA", at positions 94 to 630 of the family's 1533-position model. The record is from RNAcentral.
AGCGGCAGACGGGAGAGUAACACGUGGGAACGUACCCUUCAGUUCGGAACAACCCAGGGAAACUUGGGCUAAUACCGGAUACGUCCGAAAGGAGAAAGAUUUAUCGCUGAAGGAUCGGCCCGCGUCUGAUUAGCUAGUUGGUGGGGUAACGGCCCACCAAGGCUACGAUCGGUAGCUGGUCUGAGAGGAUGAUCAGCCUCACUGGGACUGAGACACGGCCCAGACUCCUACGGGAGGCAGCAGUGGGGAAUAUUGGACAAUGGGCGCAAGCCUGAUCCAGCCAUGCCGCGUGGGUGAUGAAGGCCCUAGGGUUGUAAAGCCCUUUCGGCGGGGAAGAUAAUGACGGUACCCGCAGAAGAAGCCCCGGCUAACUUCGUGCCAGCAGCCGCGGUAAUACGAAGGGGGCUAGCGUUGCUCGGAAUCACUGGGCGUAAAGCGCACGUAGGCGGGUUGCUAAGUCGGGGGUGAAAUCCUGGAGCUCAACUCCAGAACUGCCUUCGA